RNAcentral lists this ribosomal RNA (418 nucleotides) under bacterium. Its description in RNAcentral is "partial 16S ribosomal RNA". It matches the Rfam family "Bacterial small subunit ribosomal RNA", at positions 355 to 776 of the family's 1533-position model. The record is from RNAcentral.
UGGGGGAUAUUGCACAAUGGGCGAAAGCCUGAUGCAGCGACGCCGCGUGGGGAUGAAGGCCUUCGGGUUGUAAACUUCUUUUGCUCUUAACAAGGGGCACCAUGGGGUGUGUUGAGUUGUGGGGUUGAUUAGCGCCGGCUAACUACGUUCCCGCAGCCGCGGUAAUACGUAGGGCGCGAGCGUUGUCCGGAAUUAUUGGGCGUAAAGGGCUUGUAGGUGGCUGGUUGCGUCUGUCGUGAAAGCUCAUGGCUUAACUGUGGGUUUGCGGUGGGUACGGGCUGGCUUGAGUGCAGUAGGGGAGGCUGGAAUUCCUGGUGUAGCGGUGGAAUGCGCAGAUAUCAGGAGGAAUACCGGUGGCGAAGGCGGGUCUCUGGGCUGUUACUGACACUGAGGAGCGAAAGCAUGGGGAGCGAACAGG